RNAcentral lists this ribosomal RNA (497 nucleotides) under uncultured bacterium. RNAcentral's name for it is "partial 16S ribosomal RNA". It matches the Rfam family "Bacterial small subunit ribosomal RNA", at positions 28 to 507 of the family's 1533-position model. The record is from RNAcentral.
GAUGAACGCUGGCGGCGUGCCUAAUACAUGCAAGUCGAGCGAACAGACGAGGAGCUUACUCCUCUGACGUUAGCGGCGGACGGGUGAGUAACACGUGGAUAACCUACCUAUAAGACUGGGAUAACUUCGGGAAACCGGAGCUAAUACCGGAUAACAUGUUGAACCGCAUGGUUCAACAGUGAAAGACGGUCUUGCUGUCACUUAUAGAUGGAUCCGCGUCGCAUUAGCUAGUUGGUAAGGUAACGGCUUACCAAGGCAACGAUGCGUAGCCGACCUGAGAGGGUGAUCGGCCACACUGGAACUGAGACACGGUCCAGACUCCUACGGGAGGCAGCAGUAGGGAAUCUUCCGCAAUGGGCGAAAGCCUGACGGAGCAACGCCGCGUGAGUGAAGAAGGUCUUCGGAUCGUAAAACUCUGUUAUUAGGGGAGAACAAAUGUGUAAGUAACUAUGCACGUCUUGACGGUACCUAAUCAGAAAGCCACGGCUAACUACGUG